This 146-nucleotide small RNA is filed under the name Arabidopsis thaliana (thale cress). RNAcentral describes it as "partial non-coding RNA". Lineage: Eukaryota; Viridiplantae; Streptophyta; Magnoliopsida; Brassicales; Brassicaceae. The record is from RNAcentral.
ACCAAUUGGCUUUGAGGUGGAUAAAGCUCAUUAGCUUUCCCAUGAGAUCAUGAUCCUUGACCCAAUAGGGUUCAUUCAAAUUACAAUAGGAUAUGUAUAUGAUCCAUCCUCUUCACGGGAAAGAAGUUGAGCCAAAGCCAAUUGGU